This is a long non-coding RNA of Bos taurus (domestic cattle), 630 nucleotides long. The record is from Ensembl. NCBI's taxonomy places the organism in Eukaryota, Metazoa, Chordata, Mammalia, Artiodactyla, Bovidae.
AAAGGGUAUAAAAUACAGGCUGCUACGGGAGCAUUAGUAGCAUCUGACUGGGUGGGUGAGGCCAGGGAAAACUUUCUGUCUUGAAAGUAAACAAACCAACAAAAACCUAAGUCCCCCAAAGGGUCAUUUUCAUCUGACACUGAAGAUCACUCACGACAUGGGCACUAGCAGGCUCUCGCCGCACAGGCAACGACCGCGAGAAACACACAACACCACGAGCUUGCACCUGCCUGGAAAGCCCACGCGUCUCACGCUGAGAAGCCACACAAAGGCUUUUCCCUUGCUCGAGGACAAAACGGCUUGAACUCUGCUUUGCUUUUGUUUCACACUGAGUCUGCUCCCCUCUGCCAGAUGACCACAUCAAAAGUGAUUCCCCUGGGGAAAGCACAGGCAGAACACUCUGACAGAAUUCAAAGAAGAUCUGUACAUCUGAAACUAACACAACAUUGUAAACCAACCGAAGUCCAGUAUAAAACAGAAAUUUUUUUAAAAAAAGAAAAGAUACACGCCCCUCCAUGUUCAUAGCAGCACUAUUUACAACAGCCAAGACAGGGAAGCAACCUAAAUGCCCACUGACAGGGAAAUGUAUAAAGACGUGGUCCAUAUAUACAAUGGAAUGUUAUUCAGUCA